UAUGACUUCUGGCAAGUGCCACUUCUGUGUUCUAGUAUGUCCAUCUGAGAAGUGGGAACCCAUUCUCCUCACAAGGUGACUGUGAGAUCCAUCUGAGAAGUGGGAAACCAUUCUCCUCACAAGGUGACUGUGAGAGUAAAUCAGGAGGUAGAAUUUUCAAGUGCAAUAACUAGCCAUUGGAAGGCACAUAAAAAUACUCCCAACCACACAAUGUGAACGCGUCACCACAGAAGAAAUGAGGCAUUUGACAGCUUGUUUGAUCUAACUCGUGCUGGUUCCUUCAGAUAUAAUAGUGAAAGCUUCCAGAGUUUAUAUUCUGGUACCUUCUCUGCCAAGCUUAUGGAGAGGGUUGCAGAGCCUCCACCACCUGGGAAUUUCUGGUGCAUUUUCUUGGUGCGUCCAUAUGUAGUAUCUGCAGCAUUUGGGGCACAUGAAGGCUUGGUAAUAUCUGAGGAUGACAGAGGCACCUAAGCAUGGAAGAGGUUGGUGGUUAGGCCUCUCCAUUCUCUCUGAGCAUUCACCCAGAAGUUCCACCCCUGGGCAGAGACCAGCCCUUUCCUGCUCCUUCUCUUUGGGGACUCCUGUGGUUCUAUCAGACAUUGACUAAUUCUUGAGAGAUGCUUAUAGCUCCAGGCCUGAAGUGAUUCUCUAGUGUGGUUGGAUCAAUCCCAAACUUCUCUGGCACCAUGGGAAAUGAAGCCAUCUGCUCGUAUCUCACUGCCUGUCUUCUCUGCCAAAGUCUUGAAUCUUCAGCUUUAAAAAACUACUUGAUACUCUUCAAUAGUCAAGACCUUCUGAUUCCAAUCAAGGUCAAACACCCUGUGGAAAACCCAGACAUAGGCAGUGAGCCAAGAGUUGGCUAAGUCAUAGUGAGCUCUUCUGCUUUGAAGGGAGGGAACUUGGUCUGGGAGCAGCUGUUCAAACAAGUGGAAGAUCCAGUUGAUUAAAGAGAAGAGAAAUAGUGUGGUAGUUUGAGUGAGAAUGGCCCCAGUAGGCUCAUAUGUCUGAUGGAACUAUUUGGGAAGGAUUAGGAAGUGUGGCCUUGUUGGAGGAGGGGCAUCGUUGGAGACUGAUUUAAAGGGUACAAUAGCCCAUGCCAUUCCCAGUUAGUUCUCUGCCUCGUGCUGUGGAUCAGAGAAACUGAGGAAAACAGGGAUUUGGGGGUGUGACUAACCUGUUCCAGAUCAUUUGGCUGUGGAGACCCAGUCCCUGCCCUCAAGAAGCACGUGGCCUGGUGAAGGACAUGAGUGGUACAGGCUGGGUUCAUGCCUGUUUGAAUUUCCAGUGAAGUCUCCAAUCAAGGUUGGGGUCUGACCUUGGGCAGGUCAAAGGAACUGGAGAGGAACUUCCCCCGACAGCACUGCAUGGUGUCGCAUACAGGACAUCAGUGAGAUCCCCAGAGUUGACUGGGGAAAUCCCAACAGCUACAGCUCAGGGACCAGGCACCUCUCCACGUGAAGACUUGCCUUCAGGGGGCAUCACAUGACAUGGUGCACGUAUGGAGGUCAGAGGACAACUUCAGGAGUCGGCUCUCUCACCAUGUGGCGGAACUCAGGUCAUCAGGUCUAGAGGCAAGAAGCUUUACCCACUGAAGCGUCUUACCAGGCCCAAACUUGAUUUGUUGUUUUGUUUCCCUUUUUUCUUUUUCUUUCUUUUCUUUUUUUUUCUUUGGCCUUUUGAGACAGGGUUUCUCUGUGUAGCUUUGGCUGUCCCAUAACUCACUCUAUAGACCAGGCUGGCCUCAAACUCACAGAAAUUUGCCUGUCUCUGCCUCCCAAGUGCUGGGGUUAAAGGUAUGUGCCACCACCUCCCAGCCUGUUUUCCUUUAAAAAAAUCAGUAGUAGUACAUUUUAGAAAGUAGAGUAAAUACAUAAAACAGUAACACGGUUGUUUGUUAUCACUAUCGUAUAAUUUUUCCUGUCUAUAAUUGGAUGUUCUAUACUUUUAUAUGGCUGGUGUGGUGGCAGGUUUCUCACUACCAGAAUCUCUAAGGACACAAGUAGUGUCUUGUGCUGAAACAUUACUUCACUGAGGCUGCUAGGCCUAGAAAUUCUUGAGCUUCCUUAUAAUCUCAUGGGACCACCAUUGAACGUGUGUUCUGCCAUAGACAGAAACCUCAUUGUGCACGUAUGUCCAUACACAAGUGAGGCCACAAUGUUAAAGACAGCCUGAAAUGUAAGCAGGCAGCCUCACCUUUCAGAACAACGUUUUUAGACUAAAAUGCUGCAAACAACGUUUUUGUGAAUUUCUUCCUGAAGAAAAAGUUGAGUUUUCUCUUCAUAGGUUCUUGCUCACAAGCUGACACAAACAUCACACAACUGUGAUUGGCUGCAUGAGCCCUUCACAUGAUUGAGUCGAUCAAUCUGUUAUGGAUGGAGGUGAGCUCCUAAGGCCCCCACCCCUCUCUGAAGAGCUAUUGACAGUUAAUGGUUGCUGGGGAAGGGAGAUGUUUUCUUCAGUGGCGUAGCCACUGGUAUGUUGCCAAUGCUCCUGCAAAUGUCUCUUUCUGAGGCUCAGCUAAGCAACUCCAAUUAAACUCACUGGGUAAAAUACAGCAAAAGAUAUGAAAAUAGAGGGGGAGUCGUUCGGGAGAGGAAGGGGAUCGACAGGAGUGGGAAGGGUGUAUAUGAUCAAGAUACAUUAUAUAUUACGAUCAAAAUGCAUGUAUAUAUAUACAUAUAGAUAUGAAAAUGUCAUCAUGAAACCCCAUUGCUAUAUAUAAUUAAAAUAUGGUAAUUUU
Molecule: long non-coding RNA, 2740 nt
Organism: Peromyscus californicus insignis
Lineage: Eukaryota; Metazoa; Chordata; Mammalia; Rodentia; Cricetidae
Exons: 5
Source: RefSeq, a predicted model, not a curated record